Molecule: small nuclear RNA, 193 nt
Organism: Atta colombica
Lineage: Eukaryota; Metazoa; Arthropoda; Insecta; Hymenoptera; Formicidae
Rfam family: U2 spliceosomal RNA
About the family: U2 is a small nuclear RNA (snRNA) component of the spliceosome (involved in pre-mRNA splicing). Complementary binding between U2 snRNA (in an area lying towards the 5' end but 3' to hairpin I) and the branchpoint sequence (BPS) of the intron results the bulging out of an unpaired adenosine, on the BPS, which initiates a nucleophilic attack at the intronic 5' splice site, thus starting the first of two transesterification reactions that mediate splicing.
Source: Rfam
AUCGCUUCUCGGCUCUCUUGAGCUAAGAUCAAAGUGUAGUAUCUGUUCUUAUCAGCUUAAUAUCUGAUACAAUCCCCAUAGGGGAUUCAGAAUAUUAAACUUUUUUUUGAACAAAGGCGGGAAUGUGGGGCUUGCUCCAAUCUUGCCAGGGUCGACCCGAUAUUGCAGUUUAUUCGGGACUGGCCUAAAUAAA